RNAcentral lists this ribosomal RNA (271 nucleotides) under uncultured archaeon. RNAcentral's name for it is "partial 16S ribosomal RNA". It matches the Rfam family "Archaeal small subunit ribosomal RNA", at positions 477 to 747 of the family's 1478-position model. The record is from RNAcentral.
CAGCGCCACGAGUGGGAACCACGAUUAUUGGGCCUAAAGCGUCCGUAGCUGGUUUGAUAAGUCUUUUGUGAAAUCGUUGCGCUUAACGUAACGACGUGCAAAAGAGACUGUCAGACUUGGAACCGGGAGGAGUCAGAGGUAUUCCGUGGGGAGCGGUAAAAUGCUAUAAUCCACGGAGGACCACCUGUGGCGAAGGCGUCUGACCAGAACGGAUUCGACAGUGAGGGACGAAAGCUGAGGGAGCAAACCGGAUUAGAUACCCGAGUAGUCC